Dreissena polymorpha is the source of this 1096-nucleotide long non-coding RNA. RefSeq lists it as uncharacterized. Lineage: Eukaryota; Metazoa; Mollusca; Bivalvia; Myida; Dreissenidae. The transcript is spliced from 2 exons. The record is from RefSeq and is a predicted model, not a curated record.
CCCAAAAAAAUAAUUUUUAUGCCCCCGGUAGGGUGGCAUAUAGCAGUUGAACUGUCCGUCAGUAUGUCAGUCAGUCUGUUCGUCCGUCCGAAAAAAACUUUAACAUUGGCCAUAACUUUUUCACUUUUGAAGAUAGCAACUUGAUAUUUGGUAUGCAUGUGUAUCUCAUGAAGCUGCACAUUUUGAGUGGUGAAAGGUCAAGGUCAUCCUUCAAGGUCAAAUGUCAAAUAAAUGGUGUCUGUCCGUCCAAAAACUUUAACAUUGGCCAUAACUUUUUCAAUAUUGAAGAUAGGAACUUGAUAUUUGGCAUGCAUGUGUAUCUCAUAGAGCUGAACAUUUUGAGUGGUGAAAGGUGAAGGUCAAGGUCAUCCUUCAAGGUCACAGUGACUCGAAAUAGUAAAAUGGUUUCCGGAUGAUAACUCAAGAAUGCUUAUGCCUAGGAUCAUGAAACUUCAUAGGUACAUUGAUCAUGACUGGCAGAUGACCCCUAUUGAUUUUCAGGUCACUAGGUCAAAGGUCAAGGCCACAGUGACUCGAAACAGUAAAAUGGUUUCCUGAUGAUAACUCAAGAAUAAUUAGGCCUAGGAUCAUGAAACUUCAUAGGUAUAUUGAUCAUGACUGGCAGAUGACCCCUAUUGAUUUUCAGGUCACUAGGUCAAAGGUCAAGGUCACAGUGACAAAAAACGUAUUCACACAAUGGCUGCCACUACAACUGAUAGCCCAUAUGGGGGGGCAUGCAUGUUUUACAAACAGCCCUUGUUGAAAAUGGCGAGAAAAAAGCAACAGCUAAGCAAAGGAAAAAGCAAGAAGGAAACAAAUUCUUUCCGACAUAAAAUGUUUAACAUUCAAGGUUGAGAAGUUUGUUUUACUUAUAUUUGUUUAAUGUAUUAAAGUUAAUGCACAGGAUUUUUAUACAGUACUAAGUAAAGUGUAACUCUGAUGUCAAGAUUAAUUAGAAAAUCAAGAAUCUCUUCCUUCAAACCCAUUCUUACAAUGUGAUGAUCAUCAAUAAGGUAUAUUGACUUUGUUCAGUGUUAUAUUGUGUGAUUUGUGUACAAAUGUCUAGAAUUAAGACAAUAAAAUCGACAUAACAAAA